This 368-nucleotide ribosomal RNA is filed under the name uncultured bacterium. Its description in RNAcentral is "bacterial SSU rRNA". It matches the Rfam family "Bacterial small subunit ribosomal RNA", at positions 32 to 378 of the family's 1533-position model. The record is from RNAcentral.
AAUCAACGCUGGCGGCGUGCCUCAGACAUGCAAGUCGAACGCGAAAGGCCCCUUCGGGGGCCGAGUAGAGUGGCGCACGGGUGAGUAACACGUGGGUAAUUUGCCUUCGGGUGGGGAAUAACAGCCGGAAACGGCUGCUAAUACCGCAUAAUGCAGCGGCAUCUAUGAUGACAGUUGUUAAAGCGGGGGAUUCGCAAGAACCUCGCGCCUGAAGAGAAGCCCGCGGCGGAUUAGCUAGUUGGUAGGGUAAUGGCCUACCAAGGCGACGAUCCGUAGCCGGCCUGAGAGGGCGGUCGGCCACACUGACACUGACAUACGGGUCAGACUCCUACGGGAGGCAGCAGUCGGGAAUUUUGGGCAAUGGGCGC